This 492-nucleotide ribosomal RNA is filed under the name uncultured bacterium. Its description in RNAcentral is "partial 16S ribosomal RNA". It matches the Rfam family "Bacterial small subunit ribosomal RNA", at positions 29 to 507 of the family's 1533-position model. The record is from RNAcentral.
AGUGAACGCUGGCGGUAGGCCUAACACAUGCAAGUCGAACGGCAGCACAGUAAGAGCUUGCUCUUACGGGUGGCGAGUGGCGGACGGGUGAGGAAUACAUCGGAAUCUACUUUUUCGUGGGGGAUAACGUAGGGAAACUUACGCUAAUACCGCAUACGACCUACGGGUGAAAGCAGUGGAUCUUCUGACCUUGCGCGAUUGUAUGAGCCGAUGUCGGAUUAGCUAGUUGGCGGGGUAAAGGCCCACCCAGGCGACGAUCCGUAGCUGGUCUGAGAGGAUGAUCAGCCACACUGGAACGGAGAAACGGUCCAGACUCCUACGGGAGGCAGCAGUGGGGAAUAUUGGACAAUGGGCGCAAGCCUGAUCCAGCCAUACCGCGUGGGUGAAGAAGGGCUUCGGGUUGUAAAGCCCUUUUGUUGGGAAAGAAAAGCAGAAGGUUAAUACCCAGCUGUUGUGACGGUACCCAAAGAAUAAGCACCGGCUAACCUCGUG